RNAcentral lists this unclassified non-coding RNA (1487 nucleotides) under Lingula anatina. RNAcentral's name for it is "cyclin-O-like, transcript variant X1". The record is from RNAcentral. Lineage: Eukaryota; Metazoa; Brachiopoda; Lingulata; Lingulida; Lingulidae.
AUGAGGCCAAGAUAGCAAUGCAUGGACUUCAUUUCUCUUGCGGCGGCCGCCCCAUGCACUUUUAUCUUACAUCUGGUCCAUCAACUUGAUAUGCUUCUCCGCCCCUCUUUCAGGCAUACUGUCCACACGAACAGCAGAGAGCUUGGGUUGAGGCAAGAACUCCUUGACAUAUCAGAGAGAUUUGAAGACAGUGAUUUCUCGGAAAAUGACGAUAAUCAAGCAGACAUUCUGGAGGAAAUGGAGGCGGCAGAAAGCAACAAAAGAAUUCGAAAUGAAGAAAAGUAUGGCAUGUCCAGUCAAGCUGGUGUGGAAGAUUUUUCAACAGAUUAUAUGUCAUCUGAGACGAUCUGGGAUUCUGGGGAUGACUCCGGUGUCUAUUUCGAUGACAGAACUACAGAAAAGCCAUAUUGGAACCAGGAUGCGUGUGCUGUUAACGGAGAGGAUCACUCGGUUCCUAGGACACCGCCGACCUCACCUCGCGACAGCCAAUCCAGUCUGAACAGCGAAAACUGCACCCCGCUCGCCCUGGAAAAACUGCGCUGUGACGAAAGCAUCGAUGACCUUCUCGACGAAGACAGCGAGUUCAGUGUGUGGCGCUCUAAAGAGCGGUUUGUGCCACGCUUAAUCAAUGACGAAGCCCCCAACAUUGUUCACUGCGUCGGAUUGCCUUUCUUUUGACGCACACCUAGCACCUAUCCAGCGGGACAUUUAUGCUGAUUACUUGGACUUGGACGCGGAUCACGCUGGUUUUGUACACUAUAACUUGGACACGUAUAUUCAUCGGAGAGCAACAGAAAUGAUAUACCACCCAAAAAACUGCUUAGACAACCAGUCUCAGGUUACAGUAGGAAUGCGGGCAAUACUUAUACAGUGGCUCACGAAAGUCGUCCACCAGCACUUUCGUUUUCACCAAGACACGCUAUAUCUGACAGUCAACAUUCUAGAUCGCUUUCUCGCCUCAACACCUGUAAAAAUAGAAUGUUUUCAGUUGCUGGGUGUCACGGCACUUCUUGUAGCAGGGAAGCAUGAAGAGAUCUACCCGCCAGAAGUGGAGGAGUUGAUUCGACUGUGUUGUGGGGCUUACGAUCGCGCGCAAAUCAUCCGGUUAGAGCGCCUCGUCCUGGAACGCCUGGGCUACACUUUUAUGGUGCCCACCACGCACUAUUUCCUGGAGCAGUACAGUUCUUCGCGGUUGCUGACGAGGCGACUGGCCGGGUGCACCAAGGAUGAUAUAAGGUCAUAAUAAAUAAAAAAAAGAGGUCCCCUCUUGAAAUACUCUAUCGAAGCGAAUACUUGUUAUGGUUCAAUGUCGCCAUGUCUAUUUCUCCGUAUAUCUAUCUAUCUAUCUAUCUAUUUGUCUGUCUGCCUGUCUGUCUGUCUGUCUAUCUGGUUUGAACUUGGCAUUCUCUUCUCGUUUGCCAUUAUGCUACAAUUUUCAGAUUGGUUCCCGUAAACAUAGAAAAGCUAAAUGAAAUGGAAGACAAGAG